GAAAGUAGCGGCGAGCGAAAUUGGAUUAGCCCUUAAGCUUUUAAUGAGACAGAUGAAGGCUCUGGAAAGUGCCGCAAUAAAGGGUGAUAGCCCCGUAAUCAACAUCUCAUCAUCAGUGAAAUCGAGUAAGGCGGGACACGUGAUAUCCUGUCUGAAUAUGGGGGGACCAUCCUCCAAGGCUAAAUACUACUGACUGACCGAUAGUGAACCAGUACCGUGAGGGAAAGGCGAAAAGAACCCCUGUGAGGGGAGUGGAAUAGAACCUGAAACCGUGUACGUACAAGCAGUAGGAGCACCUUCGUGGUGUGACUGCGUACCUUUUGUAUAAUGGGUCAGCGACUUAAUUUUAGUAGCAAGGUUAACCGUUUAGGGGAGCCGUAGGGAAACCGAGUCUUAACUGGGCGUACAGUUGCUAGGAUUAGACCCGAAACCAGGUGAUCUAGCCAUGGGCAGGUUGAAGGUUGAGUAACAUCAACUGGAGGACCGAACCGACUAAUGUUGAAAAAUUAGCGGAUGACUUGUGGCUAGGGGUGAAAGGCCAAUCAAACCUGGAGAUAGCUGGUUCUCCCCGAAAGCUAUUUAGGUAGCGCCUCGGACGAAUACUACUGGGGGUAGAGCACUGUUAAGGCUAGGGGGUCAUCCCGACUUACCAACCCUUUGCAAACUCCGAAUACCAGUAAGUACUAUCCGGGAGACACACGGCGGGUGCUAACGUCCGUCGUGGAGAGGGAAACAACCCAGACCGCCAGCUAAGGUCCCAAAGUAUAGCUAAGUGGGAAACGAUGUGGGAAGGCUCAGACAGCCAGGAUGUUGGCUUAGAAGCAGCCAUCAUUUAAAGAAAGCGUAAUAGCUCACUGGUCGAGUCGGCCUGCGCGGAAGAUGUAACGGGGCUAAGCUAUACACCGAAGCUGCGGCUACGUACCUUAGGGUGCGUGGGGUAGGGGAGCGUUCUGUAAGCCGUUGAAGGUGGUCUGUAAGGGCUGCUGGAGGUAUCAGAAGUGCGAAUGCUGACAUGAGUAACGAUAAAGGGAGUGAAAAACUCCCUCGCCGGAAGACCAAGGGUUCCUGUCCAACGUUAAUCGGGGCAGGGUAAGUCGACUCCUAAGGCGAGGCCGAAAGGCGUAGUCGAUGGGAAACGGGUUAAUAUUCCCGUACUUCUUACAAUUGCGAUGGGGGGACGGAGAAGGCUAGGUGGGCCUGGCGAUGGUUGUCCAGGUUCAAGUAUGUAGGCGGAAAGUUUAGGUAAAUCCGGACUUUCUUAACGCUGAGAUACGAUGUCGAGCUACUACGGUAGUGAAGUCAUUGAUGCCAUGCUUCCAGGAAAAGCCUCUAAGCUUCAGAUUGUAAGGAAUCGUACCCCAAACCGACACAGGUGGUCGGGUAGAGAAUACCAAGGCGCUUGAGAGAACUCGGGUGAAGGAACUAGGCAAAAUGGUACCGUAACUUCGGGAGAAGGUACGCUCUUAUCAGUGAAGUCCCUUGCGGAUGGAGCAGACGAGAGUCGCAGAUACCAGGUGGCUGCAACUGUUUAUUAAAAACACAGCACUGUGCAAAAUCGUAAGAUGACGUAUACGGUGUGACGCCUGCCCGGUGCCGGAAGGUUAAUUGAUGGGGUUAGACUUCGGUCGAAGCUCUUGAUCGAAGCCCCGGUAAACGGCGGCCGUAACUAUAACGGUCCUAAGGUAGCGAAAUUCCUUGUCGGGUAAGUUCCGACCUGCACGAAUGGCGUAAUGAUGGCCACGCUGUCUCCUCCCGAGACUCAGUGAAAUUGAAAUCGCUGUGAAGAUGCAGUGUACCCGCGGCGAGACGGAAAGACCCCGUGAACCUUUACUACAGCUUGGCACUGAACAUUGAACCUA
Molecule: ribosomal RNA, 1859 nt
Filed under: Vibrio sp. ECSMB14106
Lineage: Bacteria; Pseudomonadati; Pseudomonadota; Gammaproteobacteria; Vibrionales; Vibrionaceae
Description: bacterial LSU rRNA
Rfam family: Bacterial large subunit ribosomal RNA
Source: RNAcentral